Molecule: ribosomal RNA, 253 nt
Filed under: uncultured bacterium
Lineage: Bacteria
Description: partial 16S ribosomal RNA
Rfam family: Bacterial small subunit ribosomal RNA
Source: RNAcentral
UACGUAGGGUGCGAGCGUUAAUCGGAAUUACUGGGCGUAAAGCGUGCGCAGGCGGUGAUGUAAGACAGUUGUGAAAUCCCCGGGCUUAACCUGGGAACUGCAUUUGUGACUGCAUUGCUGGAGUGCGGCAGAGGGGGAUGGAAUUCCGCGUGUAGCAGUGAAAUGCGUAGAUAUGCGGAGGAACACCGAUGGCGAAGGCAAUCCCCUGGGCCUGCACUGACGCUCAUGCACGAAAGCGUGGGGAGCAAACAGG